AUGCAAGAAGAGCUGGAUUCCUUGCAUAAGAAUCAUACUUAUGAGUUGGUGAAGUUGCCCAAGGGCAAGAAAAUUUUGAAGAACAAGUGGGUCUACAGAAUCAAGCAAGAAGAGCACACAUCACAUCCAAGGUACAAGGCCAGGCUAGUUGUAAAAGGAUUCGGCCAGAGAAAAGGCAUUGACUAUGAUGAGAUCUUUUCUCCAGUUGUGAAGAUGACAUCCAUAAGAGUAAUCCUUGGCAUGGCAGCAAGUCUCAACUUGAAGGUUGAGCAAAUGGAUGUGAAGACUGCAUUCCUUCAUGGUGAGUUGGAGGAAGAAAUAUACAUGGAGCAACCUGAGGGGUUUCUUGUGAAAGGCAAAGAAGACUAUGUGUGCAAGCUGAAGAAAAGUCUCUAUGACCUGAAACAAGCACCAAGACAAUGGUACAUGAAGUUUGAAACUGUCAUGGGGGAGCAAGGAUACAAGAAGUGUAGCUCAGACCAUUGUGUGUUUAUUCAGAGGUUCUUAGGUGAUGAUUUCAUCAUAUUAUUGCUCUAUGUUGAUGAUAUUCUGAUUGUUGCCAAGAAUGUCUCUAGGAUUGCUAAGUUGAAGAAGGAGUUGAGCAAAUGUUUUGCCAUGAAAGACUUAGGUCCAGCAAAGAACAUUCUCAGAAUGAGAAUUGAGAGAGACCAAAAUUGCAACAAGUUGUACUUGUCUCAAGAGAAGUAUAUUGAGAAGGUACUUCAGAAGUUCAGGAUGGAAAAUGCUAAAGUUGUGAGUUGUCCACUAGCAGCCCAUUUCAAGUUGAGCAGAAAGCAAUGUCCUACCACUGAUGAGCAGAAAAAGGAAAUGCAUCAUGUUCCUUAUGCUUCAGCAGCUGGUAGUUUGAUGUAUGAUAUGGUGUGUACAAGGCCUGACAUUGCUCAUACAGUUAGUACUGUGAGCAGAUUUAUGUCUUAUCUAGGAAGACCUCAUUGGGAAGCCGUGAAGUGGAUUUUGAGAUAUCUUCUGGGCAGCACAAAUCUGAAAAUUUGCUUCGGUGACGGUGAGGCCAAGCCGAUUGAUUUUUCAGAUUCUGACAUGGCUGGAGAUGUUGACAGAAGGAAGUCUACUUCAGGUUACUUGGUUACCUAUGCAGGGGGGCCGUGUCAUGGCAAAGCAGGCUACAAAAGUGUGUGGCACUGA
Molecule: ribosomal RNA, 1164 nt
Filed under: Triticum aestivum (bread wheat)
Lineage: Eukaryota; Viridiplantae; Streptophyta; Magnoliopsida; Poales; Poaceae
Description: partial small subunit ribosomal RNA
Source: RNAcentral